GAGGAGGGAGAGGCUCCAGCCUCUGCUGCUCCCAGCGGCUCCGCCCGGCAUCGCGCUCCCGCUCGCCUGCCUGGGUCGGGCCUUCCUCUCGCCUCUCCUCCUGCCGCUCGGUCUCCUCCUUCUCGCGGGCGAUGGCGGCGCUCCACGGGGCGGCUACCAAGGCCGGCGCCCCGCCGCAGAUCCCGGACACCCGUCGCGAGCUGGCCGAGCUGGUCAAGCGCAAGCAGGAGCUGGCCGAGACGCUGGCCAACCUGGAGCGGCAGAUCUACGCCUUCGAGGGCAGCUACCUGGAAGAUACUCAGAUGUACGGCAACAUCAUCCGAGGCUGGGACCGCUACCUGACCAACCAGAAGAACUCCAACAGCAAGAAUGACCGACGGAACCGCAAGUUCAAAGAAGCUGAGCGCCUCUUCAGCAAGUCUUCAGUCACAUCAGCUGCUGCGGUCAGCGCACUGGCAGGAGUUCAGGACCAGCUCAUUGAAAAACGGGAGCCUGGCAGCGGGACAGAGAGCGACACCUCCCCAGACUUCCACAACCAGGAAAACGAACCGAGCCAAGAAGAAGCGGAAGAGCUGGACGGCUCCGUCCAAGGGGUGAAGCCCCAGAAGGCAGCAUCCUCCACUUCGGGCAGCCACCACAGUAGCCACAAAAAACGGAAGAACAAAAAUCGACACAGCCCGUCUGGCAUGUUUGAUUAUGACUUUGAGUAUGUAUAUUAGGUUAGGCUGGCAAGUUUUUUAAAAUACAGACAAAAGCGCAUUGGAGGAUUGAUCUCAAAUUGAACAAAAAGCCCCGAGCUGAUUACUAGAUGCCUCCGCGCUGAAUCUUCCAAGAGCCUGUUUGCUUCCCGCCCCAAAUCCCAGUCCGCACCAGGAGACUGAAUAAGCACAAGGACAGCUCUUUCCCACCCCAGACUGCCCAGCUCUCCUGGCUCAGCUCAGCUCAGAUGAUGUUGAUGGGGACAAUCUGUGGCGGCGGCAGCUGCUGCUCCUUCUUUCCUUCCUUGUCAGCUGAUCAGCAACAGACUCCCACCUUGGACUGGCCAGCCUCACUGCUGCUGUUCCAUCAUGUGUAAAAUAACCACCGGGAAAUGCUCUUGUCGAUGUUUCCUUCUGUUUCUUCUGGUUGAUUAUAACCCCUUUUUUGUCUCAUGAUGUUGCUUUUUUAAAAAAAAGCAAACCUUGAUAUUUAAAUUACAACCUUAAAAAAGAAAGAAAGAAAAGAAACAGCCCCCUUGUCUAUGUAGGUCCACUUCCCUCUUGUUGGAGCCUGACUGUGGUGAUGCUGGGGGAACUACUUCAAAGAGGCAGCGGGUUGGAGCAGGAAGGUGACUUUAUUUAAUUCUCCUGAUGCUUGAGAGGGAUAAAGGUGGUGGGGGCAGAGUCUCUCUCUUUUUUAAAAAAACACUUCUGUCUUUUGUUUGUAAAUAAAGCCAUCAAACUUCCAUCUCA
Molecule: RNA transcript, 1451 nt
Organism: Lacerta agilis (Sand lizard)
Lineage: Eukaryota; Metazoa; Chordata; Lepidosauria; Squamata; Lacertidae
Gene: MEAF6
Gene name: MYST/Esa1 associated factor 6
Exons: 9
Source: RefSeq, a predicted model, not a curated record